GUGGGGAAUAUUGCGCAAUGGGGGAAACCCUGACGCAGCAAUACCGCGUGAGUGAAGAAGGUUUUCGGAUCGUAAAACUCUUUUAUUGGGGAAGAAGAAGUGACGGUACCCAAUGAAGAAGUCCCGGCUAACUACGUGCCAGCAGCCGCGGUAAUACGUAGGGGACAAGCGUUGUCCGGAAUCACUGGGCGUACAGGGCGCGUAGGCGGUUUUAUAAGUCAGAUGUGAAAGGUACCGGCUCAACCGGUGACGUGCAUUUGAAAAUGUAAGACUUGAGUACUGGAGAGGCAAGUAGAAUUCCUAGUGUAGCGGUGAAAUGCGUAGAUAUUAGGAGGAACACCGGUGGCGAAGGCGGCUUGCUGGACAGAUACUGACGCUGAGGUGCGAAAGCGUGGGGAGCGAACAGGAUUAGAUACCCGGGUAGUCC
Molecule: ribosomal RNA, 427 nt
Filed under: uncultured bacterium
Lineage: Bacteria
Description: partial 16S ribosomal RNA
Rfam family: Bacterial small subunit ribosomal RNA
Source: RNAcentral